This 254-nucleotide ribosomal RNA is filed under the name uncultured bacterium. RNAcentral describes it as "partial 16S ribosomal RNA". It matches the Rfam family "Bacterial small subunit ribosomal RNA", at positions 524 to 776 of the family's 1533-position model. The record is from RNAcentral.
UACGUAGGGUCCGAGCGUUGUCCGGAAUUACUGGGCGUAAAGAGCUCGUAGGUGGUUUGUCGCGUUGUUCGUGAAAACUCACAGCUCAACUGUGGGCGUGCGGGCGAUACGGGCAGACUUGAGUACUGCAGGGGAGACUGGAAUUCCUGGUGUAGCGGUGAAAUGCGCAGAUAUCAGGAGGAACACCGGUGGCGAAGGCGGGUCUCGUGGGCAGUAACUGACGCUGAGGAACGAAAGCGUGGGUAGCGAACAGG